UCAGUAAAUGGCACCGGUUCCCCUAAGAUUACCGAAGUUAAGCAACGUCGGGCCUGGUAAGUACUUAUAUGGAAGACCGCUUGGGAAUAUCAGGUGUUGUAAG
Acanthosepion pharaonis is the source of this 103-nucleotide non-coding RNA. The record is from the annotation of a GenBank genome assembly. Lineage: Eukaryota; Metazoa; Mollusca; Cephalopoda; Sepiida; Sepiidae.